GAUGAAGAACGUAGCGAAAUGCGAUAAGUAGUGUGAAUUGCAGAAUUCAGUGAAUCAUCGAAUCUUUGAACGCACAUUGCGCCCCUUGGUAUUCCAUGGGGCAUGCCUGUUCGAGCGUCAUCUACAACCCUCAAGCCCUGCUUGGUGUUGGGCGUCUGUCCCGCCCCCGCGCGCGGACUCGCCCCAAAUCCAUUGGCGGCGGCCCUUGCCUUCCUCUCGCGCAGCACAUUGCGCUUCUCGAGGCGUCGCGGGCCGCGCUCCACGAAGCACGCAAACCAGUCUUUGACCUCGGAUCAGGUAGGGAUACCCGCUGAACUUAAGCAUAUCAAUAAGCGGAGGA
RNAcentral lists this unclassified non-coding RNA (340 nucleotides) under soil metagenome. RNAcentral's name for it is "partial contains 5.8S ribosomal RNA, internal transcribed spacer 2, and large subunit ribosomal RNA". The stretch from base 1 to 120 matches the Rfam family "5.8S ribosomal RNA", at positions 35 to 154 of the family's 154-position model. The record is from RNAcentral.